GCGCUGGUCGUCUAGUGGUCCAGGACAUUGUCUUCCCAAGGGAAAAGGCAGGUACGCGGGUUCGAACCCCGCCCGGCGCA
RNAcentral lists this transfer RNA (80 nucleotides) under Aspergillus tamarii. It matches the Rfam family "tRNA". Rfam says of the family: Transfer RNA (tRNA) molecules are approximately 80 nucleotides in length. Lineage: Eukaryota; Fungi; Ascomycota; Eurotiomycetes; Eurotiales; Aspergillaceae. The record is from Rfam by way of RNAcentral.